AUAGCUGGUUAUUCAGGUUUCGUUGGAAGAAAUACGCUCUCGUCCCCCUGAAAGGCCCAGUCCAGUCAGGUGAUGGACUCCUCCCUGAAACUGCACAAGGUCACCUCUCCUAUCCCCGUAUUCCGUUUGGAUCCUUAUGCCAACGUGUUAGGAAGGCCCCCUCUGGUGGGUUUUGUACUGUCUCUAGCAUUUGACACUUAAUAUUUAAACACCACCAAUAAGGUGGACGUCCUACUCACGGGACUGAGUUUCCGAACGGGCCAGAGAGCAGCACGUGAGCAUUUUGCAGAUGCACAAAGCAGGGUCAUCAGAAGCCUCUCGAUUCAAAAGAUGAUAAUACCGAAAAACACUGCCCAGUGACAGUGAAUCCUUGGCAUAUGAAGAAAGCUUUCAAAGUCAUGAACGAAUUAAGAAGUCAAAAUUUGCUGUGCGAUGUCACAAUUGUGGCAGAAGACAUGGAAAUUUCUGCUCAUAGAGUGGUGCUGGCCGCCUGUAGUCCUUAUUUUCAUGCCAUGUUUACAGGUGAGAUGAGUGAGAGCCGAGCAAAGAGAGUUAGAAUAAAAGAGGUAGAUGGCUGGACCCUGAGGAUGCUAAUUGAUUACGUUUACACUGCAGAAAUUCAGGUUACAGAAGAAAAUGUACAGCUAAAGAAACGGGCUCAGAGAAUGUUAUUUGAUUGGACCGUGUUGCAUCUCUGGACAGUGCAGCUGAGAUCAGACUUUGUGUGUAACUCCACUAGCCUACCAGGGUGCCUCUCAUAAAGCUACCCUUCUUCAGCUGGCAACACACAGGACCUGGCGGGGAGAUCGCUCUUACCAGUUCCCCACUCUGACGAGAAGACUGCCCAGCUCCAGGAACCGUAGCGCCCCAGUGACGUAGCCAAACACCCGCGCCUCUGACAUCGCCAGAGGCCCACCUCUAUGGUGUCGGCGAAGGCGCGCUCUUGUGGCGUCACGGAAGGCGCGCUCCUGUGACGUCACGGGAUGCGCGCUCCUGUGACGUCAAGGGAGGCGCGCUCUUGUGGCGUCACGGAAGGCGCGCGCUUGUGAGGUCGCAGGGGACUGCCACUCACGCGGAGCCAAUCGGAACUCGCGGCGGGGCUGCUGGGUCUUCCAGGAGCGCGCAUGAGCGGACGCUGCCUACCGGUGGCCGGGCGGGAUGUAACCGGCUGCUGAGCUGGCAGUUCUGUGUCGCUAGGCUUCGGCCCGGCCGCCGCCGCACAUAAGCUGCGAGGAGGAGCUUUACGACUUCCCGGUCUUCCGGGCCGGGCGCAGCAAGGGCCAGAUUCUGCGCUAGCAGGCGCGCCAACCGGCCGGCACCUGUCGCAGAAGGUGCAACCGAUCGCACUGUCGUGCAGAAGCUCCUCAAUGGCCGGCGCCAGCUGCAGCCCCGGCUGCCCACUCGCCUCACCUGAGCCUGGGCGAAUCUGGAUUGGGAAAGUUGACAUUAAUCAACUCAUUAUUCCUCCCAGAGUUGUAUUCUCCAGAGUAUCCGGGUCCUUCUCAGAGAAUUAAAAAGCCUGUACAGGUCUAGAUAUUGGUAUUUUUAAUUGAUGAUAAGCUGGAAUAAUAUUAAUACACACAAAGCACGUGUUGUAACUUUUAUUAUGCUUCCUUAGAGGUAAGAUGCAAAUUUGCCCUUAGCCAGUGUAAGAUGGUAAAUAUGACUUCAUAAAAUUAAAAAAACAGAAGAAGUACAGUUAAUCGAAUUAUCUUGACUAGAACUUUCCAAAUUUGUCCUAAGGAUUCUCCUAGAGAUGACACUGUGACAUAGUAACCAAUUCCCCUGGAGUUGUGCUAUGUAGUAUGAUAGUCAUUUGCCACAUGUUUAAAUCAAUUAAAAUUAAUUAAAUUAAAAUGCAAUUUCUCAUUUGCUCCAGAUAUAUUUCAAGUGCUCAACAGCCAUAUGUGGCAAGUGGCUGCCAUUUUGUGCAGCACAUAUAUGAAGAUUUUCAUCAUUGUAGAAAAUUGCACUGGACAGUGGAGAGAAAACAUGAUUCAUAGAAAAACUAUUGUUAUUUAAAUACAGUGUUCUAUAUUAGUCAGUGGGAUAAUACCAUAUCAUAGUUGAAUGGCAAUAGCAAUUCUGUAAGACUUCCAAGCUAUAUGUGAUCUAAUUUACUGCUUCUCAGUCUUUGCUAUGCAUUCCAAUCCUGGGUAUCCUGUUAAAUUUAUUUCUUCUAGUAGUUCUGAGAUGGGCUGCCUUUCUACAUUUCUAACAAGAUCCCAGGUGAUGCUGAUGCUGCUGGAUGGUAGAUCACACUUUAUAAAGCAAGGGGCUAGACUCUAGAUAUGCACUUUUUAUUAAAUAGUACAGCAGCCUGUAGCCACAUGUGGCUAUUAAUCUUUGAAAUGUGGGUAGUCUGAAUUGUGAUGUUCUGCAAAUAUAAAAUAUGCCACAGAUUUCUAAGACUGAGCAUGGAAAAGAAAAUCUCCGUAAUUUUUUAUAUUGAUUGUAUACUGCAGUGAUAAUAUUUUGGAUGUAUUGGGUUAAAUAAAAUUGACGGAUUUCACCUUUUUCCUAUUUUAAAAGUGGCUACUAAGAAAAUUUUAAAUUACUUACAUGACCGACAUGGUAUUUUUAUUUGGCAGCGCUGCUCUAAGCUGUUGAUGAAAAAUAUUGUUGGUGAGCUCUGCUUAGGUAAUAUAUAGGACACGAGCAGAGAGGAGGCACGUGAACAGUUCUGGCUGGAGCAGGCUUCAUUGAGGCCGUGAUGCUUUUAGCUGGAUUUGAAGAAGUGGUAGUGAUCAUCCCAGUGCACAGGAUAGGAGGACAGUCUAUAUAUUCUGAGCAGUAACUCAUAUAUAUCAUACUGCAAGACCCCAAAGGAGUAAUUUUGUGAAGUAAAUACUUAUUUCUCCUUUUUAAUGUUUCUAUUUUAGGAUUUUUUUUUUUUUUUUUUUUUUUAGUAACCUUCAUAGGGCUUGAGAUUUAAAAUUACCUGCAAAAUUCUACUCUAAAAACUUGAUCCUACAUGCUUAUUUAUUUUGUGAUAAAUAUUGGAAAUUUUAAACCUAAGCAAGAAAAUGAACUUUGAACUUUCUUAAUUUGGGUAUCUAUUAUGAAUACCUUCACUUAAGUAUUUAUGAAUUUAGAUAUGAAAGGUAAAACUAACCACUGUCCAAAUUAAUAUACAGUUCAUUUCCAGAACCCUAGUUUCUUCCAUGUGCUCACUCGCAUUCAGUAUUACAACCCCCAAAGAUAAACACCUUACCGACUGCCUUCUCCAUAAAUUUGCCUGUUCUUGAACAUUAUAUACGUAUACUUUUUUGUAUCUGUUUUCUUUCAGUGAAGAUUAUGUCUGUAUUAUUUACUCAUGUUGGGUGUAGUUGUUUUUUUCAUCGUCGUAUAAUACUCCAUUGUGUGAAUGUAUCAGUAUAUCCUUUAUUAUUUAUUGUAGAUAAGCCUUUGGGUUUUCAGUUUUUUACUAACGGGAACAUUCUUGUGCAUGUCUUAGUAGACUUAGGCACUCGUUGCUGUUGUGUGUGCAUAAAGAUAUAAAGGUAUUUGAGUUUAUUUUAUUUGAUUUCUAGUGAGGUUGAACGUGUCUUUUGUACUCAAUAACUUCAGAUUUCAUUAAAGUGUUUUGGUAAUCUUAAUAUUUUCUGUCAUUUUCUUGCUGAUUUAUAGGAGUUUGAAAAAUCACAUUUGAGAAGAGGAUUGGAUCCUAGCCAUAACAUAAAUAUAAGGGUGGAACCAAAGUUUUAAUCAAAGAAGGUGGUGUUCAGUUGCUGCUUACAAUAGUUGAUACCCCAGGAUUUGGAGAUGCAGUGGAUAAUGGUAAUUGCUGGCAGCCUGUUAUCAAUUACAUUGAUAGUAAAUUUGAGGACUACCUAAAUGCAGAAUCGCGAGUGAACAGAUGUCAGAUGCCUGGUAACGGGGUGCAGUGUUGUUUAUACUUCAUUGCUUCUUCAGGACAUGGACCAUUACAUAACUGAAGACUCCCACCUUCAGGCAGGAUUGGGUAGUACGUGUUUGUAACCACCUGGCAUUGCCUUUUGUUGAGCCACCAGCAGAAAGGAGAGAUGAGUAAGAAUGUUCUUAUUGGCACAAGGAAUGUUUGUCCCUAGAAUGGCACAGCUUAAGACAGAACCAGGAAAUCACAGAUUUACCACAUUGAUCAGAAGCAGGAGAAGGCUUGAUUGGAAAGGCCCAUUGGUGUUGCUGAUCAACAAUCUAGAAAGCCCUUAGAGGACAGGCAUAGUUAACCUCAGAAAACUCUGUGACAUUAGCUAGUGUGCUUUGUGGAGAGAGUCAGGUUAGAUCUUGGGACAGCCCACAUACCUAGACAAACUUAGGCUUUCCAGCUUGCACUGGACCAGGGUGGAAAGGAAGGGUAGAUGUCUACCCAAAUGGAAUAUUGAGUAUCAGAGACUUCAAAUGAUAACUUUUGUUUGUUUGGAGAAAAUCUUGAGGACGUGAUCACUGUACAAAAGCAUGGCAAAAUGAGGAAACCACUGACAGGUGAAGAAUUUGCACAAUGGAAAACCACCUUGACCAUCUCAUGACUUUAUACAGGAAUCGGAGACAUCCAAGGCCAUUCCAUUUCUAGAUCACACUUAUCCCUCAAUCAAGUCAGUGACUGGAUCAUCUCCUAAGGUUUCACCUGCUUUGCAUCAGGGCAGGGUUCCACUCCCAUUGCCCAGGCUGGAGUGCAGUGGCGUGAUCUUGGCUCACUGCAACCCCCUCCUCCCCUAUUCAAGCAAUUCUCCUGCCUCAGUCUUCUAAGUGGCUGGAACUGCAAGCGCGUGCCACCACACCCGCGCUUGUAAUAGAAAAUAAUUUUUCUAUUUUUUUGUAGGGAUGGGGUUUCACCAUGUUGGCCAGGCUGGCCUCGAACUCCUGAGCUCAAGUGAUCAACCUGCCUCUGCCUCCCAAAGUGCUGGGAUUACAGGUGUAAGCCACCAUGCCUGGCCUCUGAUUUUUCUAUAGUGAGAACAUAACUACUUCUGUAAUAAUAUUAAAAAUACUUGUCAGUAUCACAUAGAAUUUUCAACAGCAGAUUCAAAUAAAAUGAAUCCUUGUAUAUAUAUAUAUAAAUGUAGAAGGAUGACAUCUAUAAUAGGUGAUUACUAUGUUGACUGUAUUUACAGGGAUGGAGAAAACUCAAAAGAGCCAUUAGUAUUUUUAAUGGAGAAACUCUUAAUCAAUAAGGAAAGCAACUGUUACGGAAAGAAUGAGAUGUCCAAGUGUUUGAAACAAUGCUCUGAACACACUUCAUACUUCUGAGGAAGAGCUUUGAACAAAGGAGUAAACAAGUAGAAUGCUGAGAAAAAUAGGGAGACGACAGUGGCACAUGACACCUAGUUUUUUUUUUUUUUCUGCAUGGUUCUUUUGGUAUCUCUCCUUCCUUUCCCUGUCAGCCACAGUUCUUUAUAUUAAAUUCUUUUGAUGGCGAGAAUCCUGGAGUAGGAGUGAGAACUGGACUGUAGAUGCACCUCUCCCACUAACCACCUGUUUGGGGCAAAUAGUCUGUCUCGUUGGGAGAUGAACUUUACAAGAUCAAUUACUAAAUCUGAAAUAUCUGGAUUAGAAUAUUUCUAGAUUUUUUUUCUGCUCUUGACAUUCUAUGAUAACUCCAUGACAAAUGUUCUUUUUCCAAAUAAUUAAAACUUAAAACAGUUCCCUGUUUAAACCUUCAAAGACAAAGACAACUUCUUCUUUCUGCAUUUGAGUCGUAAACAUCUAAACUAAUAAAUUAGAUGUUUUAGGGAGAAUCUAUUGCCUACAAUAACCACCCCCCCUCCAAAAGCCAAGCCAGCAGAUACGUGGAAAUGGGAACCUGCAAUAUUCUACCUCCCUCCUUUUAAUCUCAGAAGAAUUUUUAUAACUAGAGUAAAGCCACAUUAUGACAAUGAGAAAAAGUUGGAUUACUUUUCUUUAUUUAGGCUAAAAUUUAGACUUAAAAAAAGAAUAUGCUAAUGCAUAGUAUAUACAGUAUUGCUCCUUGAGGGUAACACUGGCACAUAAUUCUUCUUAGCAUCCCCAAAUCAAUUUGUUGGAGAUUAGCACAUAGUAGGCACUCAAUAGAUAUUAGUAUGUGUUCCUUGUUCAAUACAAACAUGUUCAUCAGUAAAAGAAACCAUACUGCUAAUAAUUUUAUUUCUUGAUUUAGAAGCAAAAAAUAGGCGCCUAAUAUUAAUCUCUUCAAUUUACUUUAGGUUCUAAUUCACAACAGUCCAAGUUUAGCAAGUCUAGUAGUUUUCAUAUAAAUACCUCAUACAGUUGCAAGCAGAUGGCAUCUAUGAACCCAACUUGCAUACUUGGGAUUUUGUUUUUCUUCUCCCUGUUCAUUAGAUCCUGAAAAUACAAAUACAGACCAGACACACAGAUGUGCAUUUAUUUAUUUAGUUAGUUAUUAUUUUAUUUUUUGAGAUGGAGUCUCACUCUGUUGUCCAGGCUGGAGUGCAGUGGCACCAUCUCAGCUCACUGCAACCUCCACCUCCCAAGUUUAAGCUAUUCUCCUGCCUCAGCCUCCCUAGUCAGGUGUGCAGUACCACGCCUGGCUGAUUUUUUAUUUUUAGUAGAGACAGGGUUUCACCAUGUUGGCCAGGCUGGUCUAGAACUCCUGACCUCAAGGGAUCUGACUGCCUUGGCCUCCCAAAGUGCUGGCAUCACAGGCAUGAGCCAUUGUGUGCAUUUAUUUAAAGAACACAAUGAAAGCUGGCUCUAGAAAGGUGAAUCAGUGGGUUAGCCUAGGAAGGUCAGACAGCAACUAAUACAAAAAGAAAAAAAGAGGAAAACUCUAUGUUUUAUUUCAAGGAAACUCAUUCCAAAAAACAGAAGUGGGCUGAGAGGAAUCUUUACUUGUAUCUGAGAUCCAUACUCUGUAAAAAGGCAGUAUGUAUCAAAGACCUUUAAAUUCUGUUUGCCCUUCAACACGACAACUUUGGGAAUUUAUGCUAACAAGAUAAUGAAGAAUGAGGUUUGGCAGUUUAUCUAUUCCCUUGGUGUAAUGUUUGCAGUGUUCACUAUUACAAACAGCACUGUGAUAAACAUCUAUGAUAGAUGAAACACUGCUCUGAACACACUUCUGAGGAGAACUUUGAACAAAGGAGUAAACAAGUAGAAUGCUGAGAAAACUGGGGAGACUGUGGUGGUGGCAUGACAUCUGGUCAUCUUUCCUCCAUGUUUCUUUUGGUAUCUCUCCUUUCUUUCUCUGUCAGCCACAGCUUCUCUAUUAAAUUCUUUUGAUGGCGAGAACCAAGGAGUAGGAGUGAAACAUCUAUGAUGGAUGUUUAUCACAGUGCUGUUUGUAAUAGUGAACACUGCAAACAUUACACCAAGGGAAGUAGGUAAAUUAUGGUUACAUCUAUUUCAUGUAAUCAUGAUAAUACAUAAGAAUAUUUGUUAAAAUGAAAAGUGGUUUGUAAUACUUAAGCGGAAAAAAACAAAUUACAAAGAACACUGAUACAAUAUGAUGAACCCAAGAGUCUUUAUUAUGCCUUUUAUUGGUUUUGCUUUCUGUAAUGAACAUGUAUAAUUCUUCCAAUGAGAAAAAAGUUUUAAAAAAUAAAAUGAGAAAUUGUGGUCCUAAGGAAAGAUCCCAUAGAGCCAUAAAAAGGAGUCUACAAUUAAAAAAAAACAAUUUGAAUAAUUCCUACCAACAAGGUUUCAUACUUACAGUGGGUUCUAUGUUGAGUUCUUUUCUCUCUCUGUCUCCUUGAUCAAAAAAUUCAGUUGCUACAAGUUCUGCUAUCUGAAAUAAAUAACAGACUCAGUUUUGACAAUGAAAAGCAUAUCAUUCUUUAAAACAGAGACUGUGAAUGAAGGCCCUGUUAGGAGCUGUAUAUCUCCAUUUUAUAGCAAAUAAGCAGCAGCUUGAUACCCGAAGACAAGUAGUCCAUGUCCAAAGCGUGCUCUCUUGACUAUUACAUUAUACUCUUUUUCACUUAGGUACAUCUCUCUGUCUUUGGUAGCUUCCAACAUUUUUCCCUUUCAAUUUUAUUUAAAAAUGUUUUCUUCCUUCAUUUAUUUUCCCCCCAUAAAACAGUAUGUACAAGGGUUUGAUGCAGGGGAGAGAAAGGAUAUAUGAAGACACAUUCUUCCCUCUUCUAUUCUCUUCCCUGGUUAGAAAUGGGCAUAUAGUCCUGUUUAUUAUGGGCAGGAUGGUAGGUAAAGACCACCUAAGUGCUUAUGGCGUGUUGGCUUUGGCACAUGGAGAAUGAGUUUUUGAUCUUGUUUUCUCGGCAUGUCUGUUUCAUGAGAUGAGCCUGUAGGAAGAGUUACUAGGCUCCCUGACUAUGCAGCCCGGAGUCUUGACCAACAGCAGGCUGUCAACAAUCCUAAAUAGCAUAUUAAGGACUCAAAAUGAAAUCUUGAAAAACAAAAACACAAUAUAUAUGUCACUGCAUGGACAUCCAUCACUUUUUCUGAGCCUGUAUUGCCUCUGCAAAACAUUAUAGCAGUUACUUAGUUAGAGGGAAGGAUUUUUUUCUAGCCUCCUGGUAACAGGCUCCGUUCAGAACCUUCUCGACAUCUUAUGUCAAUACUUCCUACAUCUACAAGCCCCAGAAAUCUCUAUGUUCUACUUGUUAAUGUCUAUUUAGAGCUGAGGCACAGCGUAGAAGGCUAACCAUAAGAAAAGUAAUUUUGCUUCUUCUAAUUUUCAAGGUCAUUAAAGGGAUGACCUUAAGAAACAAGUAAGCCAGAAGUAUAAGUUAUAUUCCAAAUCCAAAAAUCUGAAACCUAAAAUGCUGGUUCAAUGAGCAUUUUCUUUAAGUGUCAUGUCAGUACUCAAAAUGCUUUGAAUUUUGGAACAUUUUGGGUUUUUGCAUUAAGUAUGCUCAGCCUUUCACACUGAAAUGAAAACUGUGCUAAUGUAGAUUCUCUCUUUCUUAAUAUAUCUUACAAAUAUUAUGUGCAAAUGCAUCUUCUAAAAAGAAAAGCCUUUGUAUGUCCAAUUAUCUGUUUUUAAUACUACUUAAAAAUUCCAAAAAAAAUUCCAUACUUACUUCAGAAGCUACCUUUAAGAGUAAAAACUUAAAAAAAUUUUUUUUUAUUUUAGAUUUAGGGGGUAUAUGUGCAUUUCUUGUAUAUAUGUAUAUUGUGUAUUGGUGGGGACUGGGCUUCUAGUAUACCCAUUACCCAAACAGUGAACAUUGUACCCAGUAGGUUGUUCUUCACUCCUUGUUCUUUUCCCACCUUUCCCCCUUUUGGAGUCCCCAGUGUCUAUUAUUUCCAUCUUUAUGUCCGUGUAUACCUACUGUUUGGCUCCCACUUAUUAUGAGUGAGAAUGUGCAGUGUUUGAUUUUCUGUUUCUGAGUUAGUUCAUUAAGGAUAAUUGGCCUCCAGCUCCAAUCAUGUUGCUGCGAAGGACAUGACUUGAUUCUUUUUAUGCCUGCAUAGUAUUCCAUGGUGCAUAUGUACCACAUUUUCUUUAUCUAAUCAACUGUUGAUGGACAGUUAGGUUAGUUCCAUGACUUUGCUAUUAUAUAAUAAAUGGUGCUGUGAUGAACAUAUAAGUGUCUUUUUUAUAUAGUCAUUUAUUUUUCUUUAGGUAGAUACCUAGUAGUGGGAUUGCUGGGUAGAAUGUUAUUUUGACUUUUUAAUUAUUGUUAUUGUCACUAAGUAACAUACCCGUUGUUGAAUAGGCCAGGGUUUUGUAAUUGCAGAAAGAUCACAAGCUGUCAUCAGCAUUGCC
Molecule: RNA transcript, 9643 nt
Organism: Gorilla gorilla gorilla (western lowland gorilla)
Lineage: Eukaryota; Metazoa; Chordata; Mammalia; Primates; Hominidae
Gene name: kelch-like protein 2
Exons: 16
Source: RefSeq, a predicted model, not a curated record